Long non-coding RNA from Salvia miltiorrhiza (redroot sage), 360 nucleotides. RefSeq lists it as uncharacterized. The record is from RefSeq and is a predicted model, not a curated record. NCBI's taxonomy places the organism in Eukaryota, Viridiplantae, Streptophyta, Magnoliopsida, Lamiales, Lamiaceae. The transcript has 3 exons.
AUUUAUUUCAGUUUCUAUCCACUGAUUCAAUCACACAGCAGCCACCCAAACACAAGGAUCCACAGGUCAAGCGCGAGAGUAAGAACUACACAAGGAGUUAGAGUACCUUAGCAAAACUUUGCUAUCAGGUUGAGCUGUGAUGGGCGAUGAAGUGUUGUUGCUGAGUAGAGUUUUUGUCGAACUUAAAGUAGGCUCAGAAAGGAUACAUGUCUUCAUACAUGUAUCUCAGUUAUGCAUUCCGCUGUAAACACUGAUUAUUUCAGUUACACCUUCCGUUGCAAACUCUGAUAAUGUUUUAGCCAAGCCCCUAACGAUGCCUUUUUCCUUUUAAGGAAUAUAAUGCGUAUACAAGUUCUUUGA